GAUUGAGGCAGGAAAUAAAGUGCAAAAAGGAGGUUUGGACCAGCUUGUGAUGGGUCUUGUAUGCCAAGCUAAGGAAUUUGGAUUACAUAUUGCAGGUCAUGGAAGUCAACAGAGAUUGCUUUGCAUUGGAGACUGUCAGAAUCAGUUUGGGCUGGAAAGAACAUUCUGCAACAAUGUGAGGAAAGAUUAGAUUGGAAAGAAAACUGGUAAUAGGAGCACUAGGGAUAGGCUGAGUUCAGUGCAAAAGAAAAGGAGGACUGAAAGCUUUGGCAGUCUCUGAGGAUGGGAAGAAAGAAGACAAUUUGAUUGGCAAGAAUGACAAUAUUUAAUGAAACGAUGAAAGCAAGAGCAGGAUGAAGAAGAAAGAAGAUAGGGAAUAUAAUUUUUAAAAGAAGGUUGGGUGUGAAAAUUAGAUGGCCUGGAAAGUAACUUGAAGAAAGGUUAGAAUCAAACAACUUUUUAAAGGUCUUCCACUAUAGGAAAUGGGAAUUUAAAG
This 496-nucleotide long non-coding RNA is filed under the name Homo sapiens (human). RNAcentral's name for it is "HSALNT0336989". Lineage: Eukaryota; Metazoa; Chordata; Mammalia; Primates; Hominidae. The record is from RNAcentral.